AACGGGGAAAAGAAACUUGUAAUGAAUUGUGCCAAAAUGAUUGUUCAUAUUGCAAAAUAAUUCUAAGAUAUUAAUUGAAUAGAAUGUAUUAAGUGCAUCUAAAAGAAAGGGAUAUGGGGACACCUACAGGUGACUAAGGUAACCUAUUAGUGGAGUCGGCCAUUUUCUCUUCAGUCGCAUGAAAGCUGUUGAGGAGAAUGUUAUGAGACCGGAUGAGCUGUAUUUCAUGUCUGUUUGGUGUCAUUUCAUAUAUUCCAGUAAACGUGAUGAGUGAGCUCAGCCUACGUCUCGGUGUUGUCCUUUCCGGAUGGGUUAAAAGAAAGAACCAGAAAGCGGGGUUACAUGAACACUUAUAAGGUUUCUCUCCAGUAUGGAUGUUUAUUUGUAUCUUAAGGCUUGAUGAUUGAGUGAAACUCUUCCCGCACUGAUCACAAGUGAACAGUUUCUCUCCAGUAUGAACUCUCAUGUGACACUCAAGACUUGUUUUGCUUGUCAAACUCAUUCCACACUGAGUGCAGGUGAAAGAUUUCUUGGCUCAUAUUUUCUUUAAAUCUUUCUGUUUGGUUUG
Long non-coding RNA from Sinocyclocheilus grahami, 568 nucleotides. RefSeq lists it as uncharacterized. NCBI's taxonomy places the organism in Eukaryota, Metazoa, Chordata, Actinopteri, Cypriniformes, Cyprinidae. The record is from RefSeq and is a predicted model, not a curated record. The transcript has 3 exons.